Long non-coding RNA from Gopherus flavomarginatus (Mexican gopher tortoise), 581 nucleotides. RefSeq lists it as uncharacterized. NCBI's taxonomy places the organism in Eukaryota, Metazoa, Chordata, Testudines, Testudinidae. The transcript has 3 exons. The record is from RefSeq and is a predicted model, not a curated record.
AGCUUAGUUUUAAUAGAAAAUGAAUUCUAUGACGCUGUUGUAAAACCACCUCUGAUUGGGCCGAUCCAAAAGCGGUGAUAACAAGCUGGAGAGUGUCAGAAGCAGGAAAUCUCCCUCAUUCUACAGAAAGACGGGCAAAGGGUUAAACCAGAAAAGCUGCCUCGUUUUACAAAAAGACUGCAAAGGUAAACAUUUUUUAAUUUUACCCUGAGCUUUAUUGUAUUUUUCUUAGCCACUUUUUUAUAGAGUUUUUACCCUGUGCUUACAAAACAGGCUUUCUCUUUGUCAAUUUUCCUUUUAAACCUCGUUUUUUCUUAACCUACAUUGGUAUUGACUAGUUUUAAUACGUUUGUUUCACUUUUAUUACACUGCCUUAGUACAUUUUCUUUUAAACCUAGUUUUUAAUGUUUUUAAAAGCCUUUUUCUUAGGACCCCUUUAUAGUUUUUGGCCAUGUGCUUACUUAACAGGUUUUGCUUCAGUCAAUUCCCCUUUUAAACCUAGCUGUAUUGUUUUUAAUAUUACUUAAUAAUAUUAAAAAGCUUUUUAUAACCUAUGUUGGCAGUCAAAAGUUUCAAUCCCU